Non-coding RNA from Pelobates cultripes (western spadefoot toad), 638 nucleotides. NCBI's taxonomy places the organism in Eukaryota, Metazoa, Chordata, Amphibia, Anura, Pelobatidae. The record is from the annotation of a GenBank genome assembly.
GCAGGCUAGGAGACAGCAAUGGGCACUCCCAGUCACCCUACAAUGGUAUCUGCUUAUAUGCUUUUGCAGAAGGGUGAGUGGGAGUUAUCCCUUCUCAAUAAAAAUAGAAAACGUUUCAGAGCCGAGCGCUGUUGUAAGUUACCACAGAUGCGAGAAAAGAAAAACUACUGACCCGGCCUGCAGAAAAAAAACCAGCAAUGUCAUUUCUAUUAUCUCAACUUCUUGCAAUAUAGUGAAACAAUUACAUAUAUGUUUAUGAAUGUUACAAAUUUCUCUUAAAUAUAGAAUAUACUGUACAUGUAUUUUGGCUAUUAUUUCCUUCAUAUAUUUUAUUUAUUAUUUAAAUGUCUGCACUGUCGUAUAAGCCUGCAAGCUCAACAAUAUUUUGCAGCCCCAGAAAUAACAUGAAUAUAAUCUGUAAUUAUUCAAAUGAGAAAUUGCUUUUAUGCCACUGCAUUUAGUUUUUUUCCCCCAAGAGUGCGAUUUUUAGGCUUUUGUACAAUAAAAUGAUGAAAAUAAAACAGUAAUGUCUGUAUCAGAUUCUGGAUAAAAGUUUUGUAUAUAAUUUAAAUUAGCAGUUUUACAACAGACAUUACCUAAAAAUUCCACCUGCCUAGAAAUCGUUUUCUGAAAAUGCA